Molecule: long non-coding RNA, 1071 nt
Filed under: Gallus gallus (chicken)
Lineage: Eukaryota; Metazoa; Chordata; Aves; Galliformes; Phasianidae
Description: lncRNA (ENSGALG00010027532.1)
Source: RNAcentral
GGAGCUCAGCCCUUCCUCAUCACAAGCUUCUCUCACCCGCAGCGUGAGCUGAUGGACGGAGAGCAGCGCAGUCCCCGUGUCAGACACCGGCUGCUCAGACACAGCACAGCCGAAGGCAGAGCCCAAAAUGCAGGUGGGGCUCUGCAGAGGGAGCCUGGUGAGGAACCGCUGGGCACAUCCACCCAGCAGCUAACGAGGCCUGCCCACCUGGCAGCUGCACAGCCCGAGGGAGAUGGACCUUCCAAAGCAUUCAAAUGGGUUGCCUCCCCGAGACAAGUUUUUCAGGCUUGGGAUUGGAGAGGUUUUCUGAGUGCGCUCCCAGCCCUGGCUGCCAAAACAGAAUGGGAUGCACAAGUGAGAGAGUCAGCGAGCCCCCAGGCCGGGUCAGAGCGGGAUCACUGGGGAACUCUCACAUCCAAUAUUGCAGGGGGGGGAAAAAGGCGUCACAGCUGAAAAUUGGCCCAGAAGAGAAGAGUGGAAGCACAUCAGUGCUGCAGCAGAGAGCUGCCUGGGCUGCAUGCGGAGCGCAGGGGAUGGCGUUAGAGCUGAAAGUUACUUGGAAAUGCUGAUGGAUGAAACUCAAUCUGCCAUAUAAAAGUUUAAUUAGAGCGCUGUUAAACCCAAGCUUUCUGGAAGGGACAAAGGAAACCGGGUUUCUAGAAGAUUCCUUCUUCUCCUGGGACUCCGUAAUAGACCUGGAAACAUGGCUGUGGAAUUUCAUCACCACCCAGAGGACAACCAUCCGGACAGCAUCCCAAGGUUUCCCAGCACAAAGGAUGGAGAGAGCCUCUCUGCUCCACCUACAGACGGCUCCUUGUCUGAGGAGCAGAGCUGGGCCAGGGCUGGAGGAGCCACUCGAGAGAAGGAAGGCUGUCGUUGGGGAGCAGCGCCUGCUGCAAAGGGAGCCGCGGCGCGGGCUGCACCUCCACCGCCUACUGAUGGCUGCAACGUCGGUGCUCGGGCACUGGGACACACCCGGGGAACACGCGGGACCGCGGGCGCUGUGUCUGUACAAAUCCCAGCUGCUGUUACCCGGGUGUUGGAAUGAGGUAAGAGGGAAGCACUCCGGGG